This 115-nucleotide ribosomal RNA is filed under the name Mysmena sp. MYSM-007-MEX. Its description in RNAcentral is "partial 18S ribosomal RNA". It matches the Rfam family "Eukaryotic small subunit ribosomal RNA", at positions 1009 to 1123 of the family's 1831-position model. RNAcentral also lists the same sequence under 9 other names. Lineage: Eukaryota; Metazoa; Arthropoda; Arachnida; Araneae; Mysmenidae. The record is from RNAcentral.
CAGAUACCGCCCUAGUUCUAACCAUAAACGAUGCCAGCCAGCGAUCCGUCUGUGUUCCUCAAAUGACACGACGGGCAGCUUCCGGGAAACCAAAGCUUUUGGGUUCCGGGGGAAG